Molecule: ribosomal RNA, 433 nt
Filed under: uncultured bacterium
Lineage: Bacteria
Description: partial 16S ribosomal RNA
Rfam family: Bacterial small subunit ribosomal RNA
Source: RNAcentral
AACGAGCGCUGGCGGCAGGCUUAACACAUGCAAGUCGAACGGAUCCUUCGGGAUUAGUGGCAGACGGGUGAGUAACGCGUGGGAACGUACCCUUUGCUACGGAAUAACUCAGGGAAACUUGAGCUAAUACCGUAUGUGCCCUACGGGGGAAAGAUUUAUCGGCAAAGGAUCGGCCCGCGUUGGAUUAGCUAGUUGGUGGGGUAAUGGCCUACCAAGGCGACGAUCCAUAGCUGGUCUGAGAGGAUGAUCAGCCACACUGGGACUGAGACACGGCCCAGACUCCUACGGGAGGCAGCAGUGGGGAAUAUUGGACAAUGGGCGCAAGCCUGAUCCAGCCAUGCCGCGUGAGUGAUGAAGGUCUUAGGAUUGUAAAGCUCUUUCACCGGUGAAGAUAAUGACGGUAGCCGGAGAAGAAGCCCCGGCUAACUUCGUG